Molecule: ribosomal RNA, 235 nt
Filed under: uncultured Candidatus Saccharibacteria bacterium
Lineage: Bacteria; Candidatus Saccharimonadota
Description: partial 16S ribosomal RNA
Rfam family: Bacterial small subunit ribosomal RNA
Source: RNAcentral
UAAGUCUCUGUUUAAAUAUCCAGGCUCAACCUGGAGGGAGGCAGGGAAACUGGCUAGCUUGAGCAUAGUAGAGGUAACUGGAAUUUCUAGUGUAGGAGUGAAAUCCGUAGAUAUUAGAAGGAACACCGAUGGCGUAGGCAGGUUACUGGGCUAUUGCUGACACUAAGGCACGAAAGCGUGGGGAGCGAAUGGGAUUAGAUACCCCGGUAGUCCACGCCCUAAACGACGCAUGCUA